GACGAACGCUGGCGGCGUGCUUAACACAUGCAAGUCGAACGGAAAGGCCCUGCUUUUGUGGGGUGCUCGAGUGGCGAACGGGUGAGUAACACGUGAGUAACCUGCCCUUGACUUUGGGAUAACUUCAGGUAACUGGGGCUAAUACCGGAUAGGAGCUCCUGCUGCAUGGUGGGGGUUGGAAAGUUUCGGCGGUUGGGGAUGGACUCGCGGCUUAUCAGCUUGUUGGUGGGGUAGUGGCUUACCAAGGCUUUGACGGGUAGCCGGCCUGAGAGGGUGACCGGCCACAUUGAGACUGAGAUACGGCCCAGACUCCUACGGGAGGCAGCAGUGGGGAAUAUUGAACAAUGGGCGGAAGCCUGAUGCAGCAACGCCGCGUGCGGGAUGACGGACUUCGGGUUGUAAACCGCUUUCGCCUGUGACGAAGCGUGAGUGAAGGUAAUGGGUAAAGAAGCACCGGCUAACUACGUG
Molecule: ribosomal RNA, 468 nt
Filed under: uncultured bacterium
Lineage: Bacteria
Description: partial 16S ribosomal RNA
Rfam family: Bacterial small subunit ribosomal RNA
Source: RNAcentral